AUGGCGAGUGGAAAUUCAGCAACCUCGGAUGUUGGCGGUGGGGCUGGCAAGAGUCGAGUUGUUCUUGGCGAUGGCUCGCAGGGCGUGUUAGGGGAAGGAAGGAAGGAGGAAGAGGAUAGGUCUUCAGCUCAGGUUGGUGUUACAACUCAAGCCGGGGACCUGGGGGGAAAGUUCAAAUACCUAAACAUUCGCGAGGAUGAAGAGGAGGACGUCGUUCUAGAGGAAGAUCUCGAAGAGCUGGAGAAGGACGCGGAAUUUAUGGCACUGGCCAGGAUUCAUACCAAAUGUAUCUUCAGCCAUGGUGCCUUCUUUGGUGCCAUGCGAUCUGCGUGGAACCUUGCACAAGAAGUGAAAUUUAGGGCUAUCAAAGACAACCUUUUCUCGGCGCAACUGAAUUAUUUCGCAGACAGCGAGCGUGUGAUGCGCGAUAGUCCGUGGUUAUUUUGUAAUUGUCCAGUGUUGUUGGCUAGUUAUGAUGGUUGGUCUGAACCGGAAAACACGGAUUUGUUCACAUAUCGGGCAUGGGUAAGAGUCAUGGAUUAA
RNAcentral lists this ribosomal RNA (543 nucleotides) under Triticum aestivum (bread wheat). RNAcentral describes it as "partial small subunit ribosomal RNA". The record is from RNAcentral. Lineage: Eukaryota; Viridiplantae; Streptophyta; Magnoliopsida; Poales; Poaceae.